Molecule: long non-coding RNA, 268 nt
Organism: Syzygium oleosum
Lineage: Eukaryota; Viridiplantae; Streptophyta; Magnoliopsida; Myrtales; Myrtaceae
Exons: 3
Source: RefSeq, a predicted model, not a curated record
GAAGCUUUCCAUCGUCCGCUGACCGAGCUAGAUUAGCCCGGCAUCGGCAUGCCUCGGAGAACAUCUCCUUCGAUCGAAGAUGGUAAUGAUCGGAAGCGAAAACGGACGAUGAAGGAGACAAGAAUGUCUGGGAUGUCUUCUUCUUCCAUGAGAAGGCAACUUGAUUUUUAUGCUAGUCUGAAAGGCCAACAGGUGGAGGGUAGGGCUUCAGGAGAUGAUGCUGGACACCAUUAUUGGUACAUUACGAAAGUGAUCGACUUUGACCGAG